GUAUAAAUACCGGAUAAUGAAGAGUGGGUGUUAAGGUUUCUGACUGGUUGGAAGAUGACACUGGCAGAGUCUUUACUCUGCACACCACUGCUGACCCCAGAAAUGACCCACAGGAACUACUGGCGAAAGGAGUGAAAAGUUGGCAUCAGAACUGAGGAAAAUGUGCCCAGCAGAUCAGUGGUCAUACGACAGCCCCUUAAAAUGCAGCCAGCAGAACUGGUGUGCUCUGGGUACAGCUGAAGAUACAGAGUUCCCAAAGUGUGCCACUUGCUUUCCACUCUCUUGCUACCGAGCAGCUGGGACUGUGCUGCUCCCCGUCUCUGCACAAGGGGGUGACUACUCUGAGCUUCUUCUCUUCACACCUCAGGAAGAUGGGAUGUCCUCAUUAAUCCAAAAAUCCACCAGAUCCAGAGUUCAUCACAUUGAUAAUAUGUUGCUGAGCCUGAUCUUGCUGGAAGAGGCAGGUCGAAACUGACAAUGUUUGAGUUCACAUCAGGGUUGUACUGUUGGGCUCUAGGAAGGCAGUUAGAGUAAAGUUUGGUGUAUUUAUAUCCUCAUGUAUUGUACUGUGUCCUGUACUGAUCUCCACACUAUGGAUAAUAUGACCAUAAUUCUGGUUAUACCACAAUUAACCUUGUCCAUCCCUUUGUGCGUACUCCAGUUUCCCAAACAUGUCACACCAGUGGAGAUCUACAGUAAGGCUGAAUUAGGCUUAUUAUUAUAUUUCAUUCUUAGAUUGCCCUUUUAGCACACUGGCCCCUUUAAUUAAAAGUUUGCAAACAUGCAUUCCUUAAUUAACUUCUGACCUUCACAGCUGGUUGUGAGACAGCUAUACUUCAUGUUUUUGAGCAAAGUCUAUUUCCCUCUCUCAAGCCCUUUCUCAGUUUGGAAAUGGCUUAUUAACUUUACAGUCAUCGGGAUAUUUCUCAAAAGAAAUAAAAUUUCUUGGUGAACAUGCACAAUUUUUCUCUGCGCACAAAAGAGUUUAAAUUUUCACUCCAGUUCUGUGAGAAUAUUGAUAAUUACUUUUAUUAACCAACUCACAAAUAGCAAAUGUGUGAGGUUAAAAAAGUCUCAUUUGAACUUUAUGAACUCAUAGGUGAAAAAGAAAUUAUUUAAGAGUAACCAUGACUGUUGGCUAAGGAGCCAUCAUUUUCUCAGCAAAACAGCAUCCGUUAAGGAGGUAAGGAUAUUGAUGUGCUGGUCAAAUGCGUCUGAGAUUUUAUUCUGACAAUUAUUUGCAUGCAUGUAUUUGCAUGUAUAUUUAAAUCUACUGGUUUCUGUAUGGAGUUGACUGUGUCCACACAUCAGCUGCUUUGAGGAAUUAAUGUGCUUUACAACCUUUUUCAUCAUGUCAGAAAGGGUAUGCCAAAGCAAAGGUCUCAUUUUUUUUUGUCCUCACAGUGAUGGACGUAAAACAUGAACAACAUGAUCCUAGUCUCACUUAUGCUGUUGUAAAUCAGGGUGAGCUUUGCUGAAACCAGUGGAGUUAGCCCACUGUUUAAAGCAAACUAAGGAGAACCAGUACUUGCCAGUACUUCCUUUUGUUUGGCACUUAUAGUCUGCUCUGGAUGGACCAACGCAACAAAAGAAAAAAAAGUCACUAAAAAAUGUUUGUAGUUGUCUGAAUAGUUGCCUCUGAAUUUCAGCUGUGGAAAGUUGUGAUCCUCUGUAAUUGCUUCUGUAAUCGAGAUCUUUAGACACCGAGUGUCCCUGGUCACACAGCAGCAGGACAACACAGAGCCUCCUCCCUGCUGAACGUGUGGUCGCCCUGAUAUUUUGCAGUCUUUUAGGCCUGUAGGUUCAGCAAGUGCAACCCGAGAGCCCUGAGUACAAACUCCUGAUUACACCAAUUAAACAUUUCCUCCAAGAUGAAAGGCAAAGGGGCUUUAGUGUGCAGUGUUUAAGCCUGUCUCUCCCUUUAAGUCUUGAAAUCAGUUAUUUAUGGGAAGCAGGUGUCUAGGCUAUCCUACCCUUUUCUUCUGUGCAUUGGAGGCAGUGAAGGUUGCAAUAUUAAUUGCUGCAUCAGCAACUUCAAGAUUUAAUGUUUUUCUCCAUUCUGCAGGCAAUGUAUCUCUUGCAUGAUUUCCCUCACAGUCUUCACUUUUACAGCCAUCUGAAUGAUAAGCAACAAUAAUGUCUCUGGAAGUGAUCCAUAAAUCAUAUUCAAAUCCACACAUCCAAAUGAUCCUAUUUUUAAUCUCUAAACUACUGUGGUGUGUGCUUGCUAGUGCAGUUCAAUUGGAAGCAUUAUGCUCACCACCUACAUGUUUCCUUCAAAUUCGUGCUAAUGCAUUAAAAAAAAAAAUAAAAAAAAUUCAACCAGAUGCUUGAGUAAUAACACAUAGAAAAAGUAUGGGCAAUGAAGACCUCCCUAAAUGCUCAUAUGAACUACAAAUAACACAAUGUUAUCAGUAUCAGUUAUCAGUUAUAAAGAGAAUAAGAAUGAUCUUGGGUUUAGAUCACUGCAUUAGAGUGGACAGUACCUGAAUUAUCUUUGUUCCUUUUCCACAGUCACACUGCAUCCAGCUAGGCCUUGAACACUUCCAGGGAUGGGGCAACCACAGCUUCACUGUGCCAGUGACUCACUAGACUGUAUUUUGUAUUGAAGAUUAAAAAUAGUCCCACGACACUAUGUACUUUUCUUCUGGAACAUCCAUCAUUUGUUGUUGUGGUCUUUGUAGAGGUAUUCCUGGAACUAAUACUUUAGCUUUAUUGUGACUACAGCUGAAAUUUCCUUUCUUUCUUUAGCUCCUCUCAGGCAGUCCAGUGGGAUCUUCUCAAGAUAAAACUAGAAGUGGUGCCAAGGCUUCACCCGGCAUCCUUAUUCUGGAAUGGCUAUGUCCCUCGUGGAAGUUUCUAGGGAUCUCUUGCAUCCCUUGUCUGUCUGUGUCUGGGGGGCCUCAGCAUUAGAAAGACAUGGACCUAUUAGAGUAGGUUCUGAGGAGGCCACAAAG
Long non-coding RNA from Pipra filicauda (Wire-tailed manakin), 2957 nucleotides. RefSeq lists it as uncharacterized. NCBI's taxonomy places the organism in Eukaryota, Metazoa, Chordata, Aves, Passeriformes, Pipridae. The record is from RefSeq and is a predicted model, not a curated record. The transcript has 3 exons.